CACACAAAAGGACAACGCUGUGAGAACACACGGUGAGAGGAUGGCCGUCUACAAGCCAGGAAGCGGGCCCUCACCAAGAGUGGAAUCUGCCAGCACCUUGAUCUUGGACUGUAACUUAGCGGUUACCUAGUGCUGUGCAGAAAACGAGCCCAGAACUGGUGGCUUUAAACAACCAGUCAUUGCUUCUCAUGAAAAAUAAUUGUUUCUUGUGUUUCUAAGGUCAGCUGGCUGAUUCUGUUGAUCUGGGCUAGGAUCAGUGAGUCUAGCUGGGCUCACUUAUGUGCCUGCCAUCAGCUAAUGGGCCAGCUGGGGCCUGGUCUGGGGUGGCCACAGCUGAGGACAUAGCUCUGGUCCGCGUGGUGUCAUCCUCCAGGAGGCUGGCUCACGCUUGGGAUGAACGUGGAGAUGGGGAUCCAGCGAGAGAUGUGAAGCCUCUUGAAGCUUCACCCCUUGAUGAAAAGCUGCAAAGGAACAUGAAUGCAGGAGGCUGACUGAACCCAUCACUGCAGGAGACACAAAGAGGUGAUGGCCAGGUAAAGACAGAGGCAGAGACUGGAGUGAUGUGGCCACAAGCCAAGGAACACCAGGAGCCUCCAGAGGCUGGAAGAGGCAGGAAGGAUCCUCCCCUAAAGCCUUAGGAGGGAACACAACCCUACCAACACCUUCAUCUCAGACUUCUGCCCUCCGGACUGUGAGGGAAUCAAUUUCUACUGUUUGAAGAUGCACAGUGUGUAAAACAGUGAUGGCUGUCCUCACAGGAAGUCUGGAGUCUUUGGAUGAGAAGCAUUAAAUAAUCAGAAUAACCACUGACUCUUAUCAAGAGCUUUCCAUGUGCCAGGCUGAGGACUUCACAGCCACUCUUGUUUCAUCCCACUACAACCCACUGAAUGAGGUAGGCACUGCUAUCCCUAUUUUACAGAUAAGGAUAUUUAGGCAAAGAGAGGUUAAGUCACCUGCUGGAGGUCACACGGCUAGUGAAAGGAUGGCUGGGGCUUGAACCACACUUUGUCGAGAUUUUACGACCCAGGCUCCUAAACCCAGUGCCUGGGCAGGUCCUAUUGCUAAUGGGCCAUUUCUGUCCUGGCCACAAUAGGUUAAUGAACAAGAUGGAGAAAGAAACCAAGCCAAGGAGCUUCCAGCCCUGGGGUCUGGGGAAAUUUAGAAGCCAAGAGCUUGGCAGCGCUUCCUUGGAUUUUUAACCCCAAGCCUCCCAAAGGUAAGAAGAAUGGCUACUGAUUGAUGAUGCUCCAACAUGGGCCCCAGGGACCUCCAGCACAGAAGAACAACAGCAGAUGCCACUGUGGUCACCUGCUGCUCCUGUGGCCCAGCUCCCUUUGUCCAUUGGGUGACUGGCCCUCCCCUACUCCACUGUUGGCUUCUGGAGGGAAUGUCGAUCACAGGACCCCCAGCCUCUUGGCCAGUAUGGCCACAAGAGUGAGCACGUGACUUGCCCAGGGCCAGUCAGAGCCUUCUCUGGGAUUUGAGAUGGAAAGAGUCUCUUUCUGGCUUAGAGAUUGAGAGCCCUGUGGUUGUAGGCUAGGGGCUGCUGGCAGCCACCUUCCCCUGCAGGUGGAGAAGAGGACAGGCCAGCAUGCAAAGUGAUGCAGAACCAAGAGGCCUGGGUGAGGCUAAGGAUCAGCACAUGAGCCUGAGGACACUGGGCUCCUGGAUGCGGCCGUACCUGGAGCAAGCAAGCACCACCCUCGGCCAUCCCAGUUACAGGAGCCAGGGAAUUCCCUUUGUUGCUUAAACCUGUUUGAGCUGGGGCUUUCCCGAGGGAGGGAGGAGAGCAAGCUCUCAAAAAGAGAGAGCUGAGGCUCCUUAUCGCUGCUGCUAAGUCUGGACGGCUGAUAGCCGACCUUCCUCUCUGGAAUCAGCAGAUCCAGGUACCACUUGUCAAAAGCCACUUAUAACCUCAAGUGAAGGAAAGGCUUCUCCACCCUUCACUGGGGGCUAGUCCUAGACACUAAGUGUGCGGGGAGUGCCAGGGCAGCUUACCCCAAAAUGCUUCUAGUUUGUAGAGACAAGCUAGAAAUUCACCUAAAGAUAGUUGAAAAUACCGCAGAUUGCUCCCAGCGAUAAACGCCUGGUGACAUGGGAGCAAUUAGUUUUAAGAAUGUCUCCAAUCUUCCUCCCUCUCUCUCUCCCUCGUGCAUGUACACAUACACCUUAAUGCAGGAUGCAGAGUUUGGGAUUUUGUUCCUAUAUCUGAGAAGUGAACUGAAAACCUUAAGGGUGGGCAAGGCUCCCCCUCUGUGGGGAGAAGGGGUUCUCUGAGGAUGGCUCCUUCCCUCUACUCCAGGUAUGGGGUUGAGGGUGGCGUGGAAGUAGGUCCUUGCCCCAUCAUGCCAAGCUUGCAUGGAGGUGACAUCCCCGUGGUUGUGAACUCACCCCUUGGGCAAGGCCCAGCGACUCUGGGUGUCAGCCAGAGACAACCCCAACUGUAAGCAAAGCUGUGAGAUGAAAGUUAAC
This is a long non-coding RNA of Balaenoptera musculus (blue whale), 2472 nucleotides long. RefSeq lists it as uncharacterized. The transcript is spliced from 3 exons. Lineage: Eukaryota; Metazoa; Chordata; Mammalia; Artiodactyla; Balaenopteridae. The record is from RefSeq and is a predicted model, not a curated record.